RNAcentral lists this long non-coding RNA (4250 nucleotides) under Brassica napus (rape). RNAcentral's name for it is "long non-coding RNA (BNAP_LNC007378)". The record is from RNAcentral. Lineage: Eukaryota; Viridiplantae; Streptophyta; Magnoliopsida; Brassicales; Brassicaceae.
CAAGCUAAGCAAGCUGCAGCUCUUCUUUAGGUGUCAUCGGAAUAAUAAUAUCAGAAGAAAAAGAGGGAACUGGGAGAAUACACAAAGGAGCGUUCCUCGUCCUCUGAGUUUUACAUUUUUACACCUGAAUGGUUGUGAGUAAUAAAAUGAGAAAAACCGUUAAUUUGGUUGGUAUAAUUCUCUUUGAUAUCACUUUCUUGUUAGCAUUUUCACUGUCUCCGACUAUUCUCUUUGAUAUUACUGUUAUUUUACCGUGAAAGCCGUGCACGUCUCAGAAUCCCUCAAAGCCGUACUCCAUCGCCGAACACAACGAGUCCAACAUGUAAAGAACUGAUUCCAAACACUCUAGUCCUAAACAAGGCAACACAUCGACUAACUGGGAACAGCCUCGACACUAACCAUCAAGUUCCUAACUUGUCUAUGAACCGAGAUCGAUUUGAGCAGUGCCAAAGGCAGGUGAGACGCUAUAGGCAAAUACAUGGCGGAAGACAAAAAUAUUAAAUGUUGAUGUAUAUAUGAAGGCUCUGUGCCAAUGUGAAUUAUAACGGAAAGAAUAAACCUAAACUAUUACAAGUGGUCCUUGAACUCAUUUUUGGUAAUUUCCUCUGCUCCAUUCUUUUACUAACUAUGAGAUGAACAUGUACUCCUAUGCAAACUCCUCGUCGCUCGUCUGCUUCUCCUGCAUUUGAGGCGGUUGUGGCAGCGGCUGAGAAGCAUGUGUCGUCAUGUAUACCAUACGCAGAACUGUUAUUCAUCCCCGACUCAAACUCAGCAUCCAUUUGAUGAUUUUGCUCGUGCUGCUUGUUGAAAACUCGAGUCCUCGUUGUUGUCAAACUGUGAUGAUGCGGCUGCUGCGGUUGCGUGUAACCCCAGUGCUGCUGCGGUUGAGACAUAACACUCGUCUGCGUUUCAAACGCUUGCUGCGGUUGCAAGAAACCGGGAAGUUGCUGCGGCUGAGACAUAACACCAGUCUGUGCUUCAUACGCUUGCUGCGGUUGCAAGAAACAAUUCUUCCCACCAUACCAACCUAGGAAAUAAGUUAACUAAAAGUUAAGUUGGGACAUUUUACUAAAUCUGUUAUCUCCACUAAGUUUCUAAUCAUUACAAUUUGAUUAUUAUUUCGUUUUAUUUUAAUGUAUUUUAGUUUGUGAUAAAAAACUUAUAUUAAAGUUAAAUAUAAUAAAGGAGUUAUAAUAUUUUAAAUAACACAAACAAACAUAAAUUACAUAAAAAUUUAUAAAAACAAUCUUAAAAAUGAUAAAACAGAAUAUCAAACUAUAAUCGUAAUAAUAAUUAAGUAAGCCUUAAUCUUCACUUAAUAAUGUGCCAAAUGUUUUCCAUAUAUGCUCAACCAAAUCAAAUUUUAAUUGGUGAUACAUAUUUCGAUUACAAACUCGAAUCCGAUUACCAAGAAUGUUAGCUAUAAUAGCAGGCAUAUUUGUAGAAUAUGUAAGAGAUACAAAAUGUUAUGAUACUUGAUAAGCUAAACAUGAAGUCUAUAUAUAGAGAAAAAAAAUAAUAAGUAUACAUAAUUAUUUUUAAAUAUCAAAUCUUAGUAAUAUUUUUUAGUUUUGAAAUUUAUAUUUUAGUACCUUUAUAUUAUUUAAAAACCUAAAUACUAUUAUUCUAUUAGACUUCAAUUAUUUCAAUUUAAUAUUAUAUAUUUUUAUAUUUAUAUAAACAUUAUAUAUUGUGACUAUAUUUACAUAAAUUUUCCAAAGUUUUAUUAUCUUAUUGUAUUCUUAAAUUGUAUUAUAUUUUACACUGACCAGACUUAAUAUGAUGAAAUUUCUUAAUUAUCAUAUUUAGUAAUUUAUUGAAUAUUAAAUCAUAUAGUUUUUACCGCAAUUCCCAAUGUUACAAACUUGCAAGACAUCACACACACACACAACAAAACUUGCAUUAGAACAAUUGAAGCAUGUUGGGGUUAUGCUCUGUUUCCUCUUCAGUGAUUCUCAGAUUCUUCCUUUUUGAUCAUAAGAAAACAGUUCUUUUGUCACAUCUCACCUCUAGAUUCUCUAGGUUCUUCACUGAAUAUAGCCUUUGAUAAAACAAAAUAAAUAGUAGUCAUUAACGGCCUCAAUAUAUAUUGAUGUGCAUUAAUUCAACUUCUUAACAAUUUCUAGAAAUUUCCCCCUAAUUGGACCUUGGGAGUUUACAAUGUUAAGAAGCUUCCCUAUUAACGUGAAUAAUAAUAAUUUAAACAGGGAAGAAUCGUAUUUGGUCAGUGGUAGAUAUACGUAGCACAUACUCCAAUUAAUUCCCUACAGCUCAUUGCUUCCAUUUGUCAGCCUAUCCGAUGCCGACCAUAUUGAAGUCUUUUAUUUUUAAAAUUAUUUUUUGAUUAUCAAUUGCUUGAUAAAAUAAUUCAAAAUACAACAGUAUAACCCCGCACGUACGCCUCCGUAGUACCCUGUGAACAUCUUUAGACGCAUUAACUAGUACUAAUUACUUUAAACAUUAUAUAUACAAAAAUACAUUAUCAUGAAUUAAUCAUAUACGGCCAACCCUUAACUUCUAGAAAAAAAAUAGUUGUGGAUAUACUGCCGAUGCAUGUAUAGGCCAUUAGGGAUCCAACACAUACAUAUUAUGACCUUUCUAAACGUUAUAUAUCAAAUAUAAGUUUGACAUCCUCACAGUUUUUUUUUUUUAAUUUAACCACAGUGUCUGGCGACCGAGAUUAACCGACUAUUCUGUGAAAUCCAGAAGUACAAUGUUAAAUUCUGGUGGCCAACAAAAAUCGAACUGCAGAUUCACCGUAUCAGGGUUAUUCCUCAAGUGCUACUAGCCUAAGGCCCGUUGGUUACAUCCUCACAGUUACCAACAUAUUUAACAUGUUUACCAAAAAAACACAUAAUUAUAAAAAAAAAUUAAAUAUCACUAGAUGCAUAUAUUCCUAAAUUAUGACAUCUUUGCAGCAAUAUAUUAGUUUUAUAUUUAUAAUGUUUAGAUGAUAUUCUAAAUAUUUUUAUAUCAUCAAAUAUUAUUUUAAUAUGUAGUCAGUAAAGUGACGACAAAAAAUGUAGUCAGUAAAGUAAAUGAUCAAAAUUAAUGAAAUAGAACGUCUCCUUCGAGACGCGUUGACGAUUGCACUAGUGAAGCUUGUGUGUUGUGAGGGCAUCUCCAUCCCAACUCCAUUUUUUCCUUUAAAAUGGAGUAAAAGUUGAUAUGAAGUAAGAAAUGCUUCAACCCAACUCCAUAUUUCACUUCAUAAUGAAAUUUACUUCAUAAAUGGAGUAGUUUAUUUUUUGUUUGUUCAUCACUCCAUAAUAGAGUGGGAAAUGGAGUAGGGUUGGAGCAAUUUUACUUCAUUUUCACUUUUACUCCAUUUUGAAGGAAAACUUGUCUUAACCUAUUAUAGUGAAUUCAGAGCUCUAUCUCACCUGCAAAGGCCACCAAUUCUUAAAUAAUUGCAGGUUGUCAGUUGAUCGACAAGGCAUGGGAAAGUUUCGAGGAUGUCCAGGUUAAAGAUCGGAGUUUGAUAUGGUAAAAAAAAGAAGAAGAAAAUAUACUUUUAUCAUUGUGAAUCGAUAUUAUUAAUUAUUAAUGUAAAUUAAGGGUGUGGUAAAACUCUUGAGCCUAUAUGUGGUGAGUGCAGGAACUCUGAUCUGAUAGAGACAAUAGAGUUGGAGAACCUUCUGAUAAACGCGUCCAUAACAAUGCAUUCAGCGGAAGCACGAAAGGAAAGCAGAGGAGCACAUGCUCGGGAGGAUUUCACGGUUUCAUUCUCUUCCUCUUAAAACAUUCAUAUAUAUAUAUACACGACUAUAUCAUAUAGCGAUGAAGAUGAUGGUGAUGAUAGAGAACCAGCACUCAAAUAUAUAUAAUGACUUGUGUGCGCAGAAAAGGGAGGAUGGAGAAUGGAUGAAGCAUACAUUGGGGUACUGGGAAGAUGAGAAAGUGAGGUUGGAGUAUAGGCCUGUUCACAUGGACACUCUCGACGAUGAGAUUGAGACUUUCCCUCCCAAAGCUCGCGUCUAUUGAUUUCUCUUCCCUCAAACAAGCUAAGCAAGCUGCAGCUCUUCUUUAGGUGUCAUCGGAAUAAUAAUAUCAGAAGAAAAAGAGGGAACUGGGAGAAUACACAAAGGAGCGUUCCUCGUCCUCUGAGUUUUACAUUUUUACACCUGAAUGGUUGUGAGUAAUAAAAUGAGAAAAACCGUUAAUUUGGUUGGUAUAAUUCUCUUUGAUAUCACUUUCUUGUUAGCAUUUUCACUGUCUCCGACUAUUCUCUUUGAUAUUACUGUUAUUUU